GACGAACGCUGGCGGCGUGCUUAACACAUGCGAGUCGAACGGAAAGGCCCUUCGGGGUACUCGAGUGGCGAACGGGUGAGUAACACGUGGGUGAUCUGCCCUGCACUUUGGGAUAAGCCUGGGAAACUGGGUCUAAUACCGAAUAGGACCACGCGCUUCAUGGUGUGUGGUGGAAAGCUUUUGCGGUGUGGGAUGGGCCCGCGGCCUAUCAGCUUGUUGGUGGGGUAAUGGCCUACCAAGGCGACGACGGGUAGCCGGCCUGAGAGGGUGACCGGCCACACUGGGACUGAGAUACGGCCCAGACUCCUACGGGAGGCAGCAGUGGGGAAUAUUGCACAAUGGGCGCAAGCCUGAUGCAGCGACGCCGCGUGAGGGAUGACGGCCUUCGGGUUGUAAACCUCUUUCAAUAGGGACGAAGCGUGAGUGACGGUACCUAUAGAAGAAGCACCGGCCAACUACGUGCCAGCAGCCGCGGUAAUACGUAGGGUGCGAGCGUUGUCCGGAAUUACUGGGCGUAAAGAGCUCGUAGUGGUUUGUCGCGUUGUUCGUGAAAACUCACAGCUUAACUGUGGGCGUGCGGGCGAUACGGGCAGACUAGAGUACUGCAGGGGAGACUGGAAUUCCUGGUGUAGCGGUGGAAUGCGCAGAUAUCAGGAGGAACACCGGUGGCGAAGGCGGGUCUCUGGGCAGUAACUGACGCUGAGGAGCGAAAGCGUGGGGAGCGAACAGGAUUAGAUACCCUGGUAGUCCACGCCGUAAACGGUGGGUACUAGGUGUGGGUUCCUUCCUUGGGAUCCGUGCCGUAGCUAACGCAUUAAGUACCCCGCCUGGGGAGUACGGCCGCAAGGCUAAAACUCAAAGGAAUUGACGGGGGCCCGCACAAGCGGCGGAGCAUGUGGAUUAAUUCGAUGCAACGCGAAGAACCUUACCUGGGUUUGACAUGCACAGGACGCCGGCAGAGAUGUCGGUUCCCUUGUGGCCUGUGUGCAGGUGGUGCAUGGCUGUCGUCAGCUCGUGUCGUGAGAUGUUGGGUUAAGUCCCGCAACGAGCGCAACCCUUGUCCUAUGUUGCCAGCGGGUUAUGCCGGGGACUCGUAGGAGACUGCCGGGGUCAACUCGGAGGAAGGUGGGGAUGACGUCAAGUCAUCAUGCCCCUUAUGUCCAGGGCUUCACACAUGCUACAAUGGCCGGUACAAAGGGCUGCGAUGCCGUGAGGUGGAGCGAAUCCUUUCAAAGCCGGUCUCAGUUCGGAUCGGGGUCUGCAACUCGACCCCGUGAAGUCGGAGUCGCUAGUAAUCGCAGAUCAGCAACGCUGCGGUGAAUACGUUCCCGGGCCU
Molecule: ribosomal RNA, 1336 nt
Filed under: uncultured bacterium
Lineage: Bacteria
Description: bacterial SSU rRNA
Rfam family: Bacterial small subunit ribosomal RNA
Source: RNAcentral